RNAcentral lists this ribosomal RNA (666 nucleotides) under uncultured Natronorubrum sp. Its description in RNAcentral is "bacterial SSU rRNA". It matches the Rfam family "Archaeal small subunit ribosomal RNA", at positions 691 to 1353 of the family's 1478-position model. The record is from RNAcentral. Lineage: Archaea; Methanobacteriati; Methanobacteriota; Halobacteria; Halobacteriales; Natrialbaceae.
CCGACGGUGAGGGGUGAAAGCUCGGGUCACGAACCGGAUUAGAUACCCGGGUAGUCCGAGCUGUAAACGAUGUCUGCUAGAUGUGACACAGGCUACGAGCCUGUGUUGUGUCGUAGGGAAGCCGAGAAGCAGACCGCCUGGGAAGUACGUCCGCAAGGAUGAAACUUAAAGGAAUUGGCGGGGGAGCACUACAACCGGAGGAGCCUGCGGUUUAAUUGGACUCAACGCCGGACAUCUCACCAGCAUCGACAAUGUGCAGUGACGGUCAGUGUGAUGAGCUUACCUGAGCCAUUGAGAGGAGGUGCAUGGCCGCCGUCAGCUCGUACCGUGAGGCGUCCUGUUAAGUCAGGCAACGAGCGAGACCCGCACCCUUAAUUGCCAGCAGCACCCUUGUGGUGGCUGGGUACAUUAAGAGGACUGCCAGUGCCAAACUGGAGGAAGGAACGGGCAACGGUAGGUCAGUAUGCCCCGAAUGUGCUGGGCGACACGCGGGCUACAAUGGCCACGACAGUGGGAUGCAACCCCGAAAGGGGACGCUAAUCUCCGAAACGUGGUCGUAGUUCGGAUUGAGGGCUGAAACUCGCCCUCAUGAAGCUGGAUUCGGUAGUAAUCGCGCCUCAGAAGGGCGCGGUGAAUACGUCCCUGCUCCUUGUACACACCGCCCGU